GACGAACGCUGGCGGCGUGCUUAACACAUGCAAGUCGAACGCUGAAGCUCAGCUUUUGUUGGGUGGAUGAGUGGCGAACGGGUGAGUAACACGUGAGUAACCUGCCCCCUUCUUUGGGAUAACGCCCGGAAACGGGUGCUAAUACUGGAUAUUCACUGGUCUUCGCAUGGGGGGUGGUGGAAAGGGUUUUUCUGGUGGGGGAUGGGCUCGCGGCCUAUCAGCUUGUUGGUGGGGUGAUGGCCUACCAAGGCUUUGACGGGUAGCCGGCCGGGGAGGGUGACCGGUCACGUUGGGACUGAGAUACGGCCCAGACUCCUACGGGGGGCGGCAGGGGGGGAUAUUGCACAAUGGGCGCAAGCCUGAUGCAGCGACGCCGCGUGAGGGAUGGCGGCCGUCGGGUUGUGAACCUCUUUCGCUCAUGGUCAAGCCGCAACAAUGGUUGUGGUGAGGGUAGUGGGUAAAGAAGCGCCGGCUAACUACGUG
RNAcentral lists this ribosomal RNA (483 nucleotides) under uncultured bacterium. RNAcentral's name for it is "partial 16S ribosomal RNA". It matches the Rfam family "Bacterial small subunit ribosomal RNA", at positions 28 to 507 of the family's 1533-position model. The record is from RNAcentral.